RNAcentral lists this long non-coding RNA (330 nucleotides) under Arachis ipaensis. RNAcentral's name for it is "long non-coding RNA (AIPA_LNC002375)". The record is from RNAcentral. Lineage: Eukaryota; Viridiplantae; Streptophyta; Magnoliopsida; Fabales; Fabaceae.
CUCCUAAUGGAGAAGAGAAAGAUACUUUGAAUUCCUAUUUACCGUUUAUGACGCAAAAGCUGAUGUGGAGUUACUUUUUAUGACAGGUGGACCAUAAAUAAGGACUGAGAUGAGUUCUCUACUGAAGAUGGUCUUAUACUCUUAAAACAUAUGAUAGCAAGGAUCCUCCCUAACUAACAUUAUCUUGUUGCUAGUGCUCAUGUUAUUUGUGGAAGAAAUUAAAGAACGUCAUAUCAUUUACGUAUGUGGAUAUAGUGUCAAGGAAUUAUUUAUAAAUACGUUUAUUUUUGGGUAUCUUUAUAAAUACGUUUGUUAACUUUAAUUUUCAAC